RNAcentral lists this ribosomal RNA (1448 nucleotides) under uncultured organism. RNAcentral's name for it is "SSU rRNA". It matches the Rfam family "Bacterial small subunit ribosomal RNA". The record is from RNAcentral.
CUACAGGCUUAACACAUGCAAGUCGAGGGGCAGCAUGGUCUUAGCUUGCUAAGGCCGAUGGCGACCGGCGCACGGGUGAGUAACACGUAUCCAACCUGCCGUCUACUCUUGGACAGCCUUCUGAAAGGAAGAUUAAUACAAGAUGGCAUCAUGAGUCCGCAUGUUCACAUGAUUAAAGGUAUUCCGGUAGACGAUGGGGAUGCGUUCCAUUAGAUAGUAGGCGGGGUAACGGCCCACCUUGUCUUCGAUGGAUAGGGGUUCUGAGAGGAAGGUCCCCCACAUUGGAACUGAGACACGGUCCAAACUCCUACGGGAGGCAGCAGUGAGGAAUAUUGGUCAAUGGGCGAGAGCCUGAACCAGCCAAGUAGCGUGAAGGAUGACUGCCUUAUGGGUUGUAAACUUCUUUUAUAAAGGAAUAAAGUCGGGUAUGGAUACCCGUUUGCAUGUACUUUAUGAAUAAGGAUCGGCUAACUCCGUGCCAGCAGCCGCGGUAAUACGGAGGAUUCGAGCGUUAUCCGGAUUUAUUGGGUUUAAAGGGAGCGUAGAUGGAUGUUUAAGUCAGUUGUGAAAGUUUGCGGCUCAACCGUAAAAUUGCAGUUGAUACUGGAUAUCUUGAGUGCAGUUGAGGCAGACGGAAUUCGUGGUGUAGCGGUGAAAUGCUUAGAUAUCACGAAGAACUCCGAUUGCGAAGGCAGCCUGCUAAGCUGCAACUGACAUUGAGGCUCGAAAGUGUGGGUAUCAAACAGGAUUAGAUACCCUGGUAGUCCACACGGUAAACGAUGAAUACUCGCUGUUUGCGAUAUACGGCAAGCGGCCAAGCGAAAGCGUUAAGUAUUCCACCUGGGGAGUACGCCGGCAACGGUGAAACUCAAAGGAAUUGACGGGGGCCCGCACAAGCGGAGGAACAUGUGGUUUAAUUCGAUGAUACGCGAGGAACCUUACCCGGGCUUAAAUUGCAGAUGAAUUACGGUGAAAGCCGUAAGCCGCAAGGCAUCUGUGAAGGUGCUGCAUGGUUGUCGUCAGCUCGUGCCGUGAGGUGUCGGCUUAAGUGCCAUAACGAGCGCAACCCUUGUUGUCAGUUACUAACAGGUUCUGCUGAGGACUCUGACAAGACUGCCAUCGUAAGAUGUGAGGAAGGUGGGGAUGACGUCAAAUCAGCACGGCCCUUACGUCCGGGGCUACACACGUGUUACAAUGGGGGGUACAGAGGGCCGCUACCACGCGAGUGGAUGCCAAUCCCAAAAACCUCUCUCAGUUCGGACUGGAGUCUGCAACCCGACUCCACGAAGCUGGAUUCGCUAGUAAUCGCGCAUCAGCCACGGCGCGGUGAAUACGUUCCCGGGCCUUGUACACACCGCCCGUCAAGCCAUGGGGGCCGGGGGUACCUGAAGUGCGUAACCGCGAGGAGCGCCCUAGGGUAAAACUGGUGACUGGGGCUAAGUCAUAAC